This is a long non-coding RNA of Pleuronectes platessa (European plaice), 4214 nucleotides long. RefSeq lists it as uncharacterized. Lineage: Eukaryota; Metazoa; Chordata; Actinopteri; Pleuronectiformes; Pleuronectidae. The transcript is spliced from 2 exons. The record is from RefSeq and is a predicted model, not a curated record.
AAGGGAAAUGUAACAUGUGACCAUAAUAUAAUCAUGUUUAUGUAUACUUGGAUUGAUCAUCAUUGAAUCUCUAACAAAUGUAACUUUGAUGUUGCUGUUUCCUGUAGAACUGAGUGAGUGUUGGCCUGAUUACUCCAGUCACAGUAAUCUAAUUAGUCCGGACACAGUGUGAUAGUAAUUAGCUAUUCAGGCAUUAUGAUUGAUGUAAGGAACUACUUUGAUGUUCCUUACACAAACUCACCUAACAAAGACCUUACAGCACGGGGGAUUUGUGGUGGUUGUAGACAAUAAGAAGGGAUCUUGGAGACAGAUGUUACACUCCAGGGGUCUGAGAGCAGGGGACAGGAUACCCGUCACCUAUUUCCUUUAUAUCAAAGAGGCUGAUCAAUAAGUUUGUUCCUCUCUAGGAGGAGCUUGAAGAUGUUUGAAGUCCUGCUUCUCCUGUGUCAUUAACUGUUUAACAACCCCCUCCCGAAUGGGUGGGGUUAGCCAAAUGUAUAAAUACCAACCACUGUCUUCCAUCUGGGUGCAUAUGACAAACUCAACUCUGUUGUAUGUACCAUGCUCGAGCAUUAAAUGUGUGACAAUACUGUAAGAGAAUUGUGUCUCGUUUCCUCCUUGCUAAAGGUGGGAUUGUAGAAAUUGCCACGACAAUUGGGGGCUCGUCCGGGAUGCCUAACUCAUUCACGCUUCAAACCAUUCUCAAGACCAAGUUUAAAUCUGCGCGCAGUCGGUGAGGGGAUUUUCUUUUUAUUAAUUAUUAUUGCCCAAGACCCGAAGUCUACCUCUCCUGAAGGGCAAGUCGUAAUCGACUCCCAGGGUGAGAAGAGGCUGCUUGUGAGAUUAUGGAAUGAAGAUUGUUCGAUACGGCAUCUGAAAUUUUUCUUUGAAGGAGGAUACAGUAUUGAAGAGCACGGGGUGACGCGUGAGGUAGAGUGACAUUACUUAGGGGUGAUGACCCAUUGAUAAAGGAAUUAAUAAGAAUAAUAUCAAUUAAUGUCAUCUAUGUGCUGGUAAGUGAGUGACUGCGAAUUUAAUUUAAAUGGGGAAACUUAAUAGCAAGCCUUUUACUGAAGUGUGUGAUCUAAUGGGAUGUGCAAAAAUUAUGUGUGAGAUACAUGGUGAUGACUCCUGUAAACAGCUUCUGGUGUGGGAGGAACAAUUUGGAUUUCCUGAGAAUGGAAGUUUUUGUAUAAAUCAAAUACAGGCGCUACAAGAUGAAUUGGUAAAACAUGAGAAAUGGUAAAACCAAAAUGGUAAAACCAAAAUUAAUUGGAUAGCAUUUUUGAGGUGGAGGAUUGAAUCUGAAAAAAAAAGAAACAGGCAACAAAGUAGUGAACUGGGGGGCAAGAGGGAGGGGAGGGAAACUAAUCAAUGUCCUCAGCUCUCACAUUCACAGAAAGAACUGGAUCUCCUCCCUGCCUCAGCCGCUCAUCAGAGCCACCUGAACCAACAGCCUGCUAUCUCAUACCGAGACCUCCAAGGACAGUCUGCCUCAACAGGACGCACCACAUCAGGUGCAGCAUUCGCUCCAACUCCAUGUCACCAGAAUCAGGGUGAGGCUGCUGCAACCAUCGCGGCACAAGACAGUCUUGGGUCAGACAGACUCAGUCCCAUCUCAACAAGAACAAGAGCAGACGCAGAUGCAGUGAUGUAUGUCUACAGAGCCUGGACACCAGAGGAGAUGUGCUGAAUUUCCAGUGAACUGUCAGACAUAGCGUCACAAGGAGGGCCUGCAAUUUUCGAAGUACUGUCCCAAAUUGUAUAACAGUAAAGGCAGACUUUGAGAGAAACCAGAAGUCUCUUGCUCCACAGCAUAAAACUGAAAUGGCAAGGGGCCAAGUAUAAAGGGACUGGCCAGGGACAGACAUGCGCUAUGACUGGAGAACAGAUGCGGUUUCGCGGACAUGUGAAGAGACUCUAUGAGAACAACCUGCUGGAAAGGUGGUCAAAUCUAUUAAAGUCUUCAAAGAUAACCGCUGAAUGUUGCCACCAGAAGACCCAGACCACUGUGCGAGAGACUGUAACACGACAAGGCUGAAAAGGAGAUCCACUCGAUUUAUUUUUCACGUAUCCCAGAGACUGCACAGAGGAUGAGGCAUGGCUUGAGGCAGAGGCGGAGGAGACUCCAGAUUCAGGCAACACUACAGGAGGCCAGGACGUACAACCCCCUGGCCAACCGAUUGAUCGCUUGCAAAUGGAUUUCAUUGAACUAACACCAUGUGAAGGAAAGGAGCAUUGUCAUGUGGCUGUUGACAUAUUUUCCCUACAGGUAAAGCAGAUGCCUCUGCAGUCGCAACGGUGUUAGUGCGAGAAAACAUUUACCCUACAAACAAGGGGUGGAGCAGUUGAAAGAGAACAUUGGAACAAUUAAAAACAAAUGGUCAAGUGCUGUGAUGACACAGAACUCUCAUGGAUCAAAGCACUACCGGUAGUGUUUACUGACCAUGAGAGGGAGGGGAAGGGCCCGAACAGGUAUGUACUGUGUGGACAUAACCAAAAUGUUGAGCCUUAUACACACAGGUAAAUGCAGCAAUCCCGCAACCAGCAGAGGGCCAGUUGCAUAAAUGGAAACCAGGAGACUGGGUGCUGAUAUAAGUCCGCCACUUGAGACGGAGGCCCAGGGAGAGAGUGUCGCUUCCCUCACAGACGAGGAACAAAGCAGAAGAAAGACGACAGCUCUCACUGAGGUGUAAAACCAUACCAACAACCAACAGCUGUUGCAGAUAAAGGAAGAAACGGCGAGAAAGAGACAGAAGGAACUAAAAAAAAAAGAAAAAAAAAAAAGAGAAGAAAGACCAGUACCAACUCAUCAUAAACCAACCCGACAGUAAAAUGGACAUCAUUUAUUUUAUCUUAUAAUUAUUUAACAGAGCGCACAGACCAAGUGAGUUCAAAACUGACUGUAGAAAAUAUCCAAAUUCAAGAUCAUUGUGCAUGCAAUGCUCCAACCACAUGUAGAAUUCCUAGCUCUGCCUGCUAGCUUCAAUGACACAGAAUGCUGGCCAGUAAGUAAUCCAGAAUAUACUUUUUGCGUCAUGGCAGGAAUGUGGAUAGCACCGUGGAAAACUCAAACCCAAAUAAUGUUCUUAGAAUUUAAAUCUGAAUUAUUGUUCAAAGCCUAUAUUUUCAUCUAAAUCCUCAGCCCGCAACUGCUCAGUCGCUUGGCAUCCUCUGCCAGUGCAUCCUAUGUCAAAUGUUUCUUCUGUGUACAGGAUCCUAGCCAAAUAAAUACAGCAAAUGCUUAUUUAAAUCAAACAAAAACUGUUUCUUUUAACAGACAGUCUGCACUGCCAGAGAAGGUGUAUUUAGUCUGUGGGGACCAGUGUUACAGCUGCUUACCAAGAGAAUCCCACAGUCGUUUGUUCAUGUUUUUGAUUGCCAUUUCUGUUAUCACUUGUAAGAUUGGUCUGAUUCGCAAACAAUGCACUUAGGCCAUUGUUACCGCUAUGCAAAUUGACCUCUACCCUAUCUCAGACUGGAUUCCACCAUAUGAUGACGUUGAUAAUAUAUCACACAACUGAAGUACCCUCAAUCGUCAACUUCGGACAGAGUGGGAUUUCCCCCACCUUAUAAAGUGUUAUUGAUCCAUAAUGAUCAAAAUGACGGAUUGUAAGGGAAAUGUAACAUGUGACCAUAAUAUAAUCAUGUUUAUGUAUACUUGGAUUGAUCAUCAUUGAAUCUCUAACAAAUGUAACUUUGAUGUUGCUGUUUCCUGUAGAACUGAGUGAGUGUUGGCCUGAUUACUCCAGUCACAGUAAUCUAAUUAGUCCGGACACAGUGUGAUAGUAAUUAGCUAUUCAGGCAUUAUGAUUGAUGUAAGGAACUACUUUGAUGUUCCUUACACAAACUCACCUAACAAAGACCUUACAGCACGGGGGAUUUGUGGUGGUUGUAGACAAUAAGAAGGGAUCUUGGAGACAGAUGUUACACUCCAGGGGUCUGAGAGCAGGGGACAGGAUACCCGUCACCUAUUUCCUUUAUAUCAAAGAGGCUGAUCAAUAAGUUUGUUCCUCUCUAGGAGGAGCUUGAAGAUGUUUGAAGUCCUGCUUCUCCUGUGUCAUUAACUGUUUAACAACCCCCUCCCGAAUGGGUGGGGUUAGCCAAAUGUAUAAAUACCAACCACUGUCUUCCAUCUGGGUGCAUAUGACAAACUCAACUCUGUUGUAUGUACCAUGCUCGAGCAUUAAAUGUGUGACAAUACUGUAAGAGAA